GUAGUCCACCCGGAAACGAAACCCAUUCUGACUAGGUAUUUCGCCAGAUCUCAACGAUCUCAGAUCGAUCUACGGAUCAGAAGGUUGGGAGUUCGAGUCUCUCCGGGUGCGCCA
Molecule: transfer RNA, 114 nt
Filed under: Microlunatus antarcticus
Lineage: Bacteria; Bacillati; Actinomycetota; Actinomycetes; Propionibacteriales; Propionibacteriaceae
Description: Friedmanniella antarctica tRNA-OTHER
Source: RNAcentral